UACGUAGGGACCAAGCGUUGUUCGGAUUUACUGGGCGUAAAGGGCGCGUAGGCGGCGUGACAAGUCACUUGUGAAAUCUCCGGGCUUAACUCGGAACGGCCAAGUGAAACUGUCAUGCUAGAGUGCAGAAGGGGCAAUCGGAAUUCUUGGUGUAGCGGUGAAAUGCGUAGAUAUCAAGAGGAACACCUGAGGUGAAGACGGGUUGCUGGGCUGACACUGACGCUGAUGCGCGAAAGCCAGGGGAGCAAACGGG
RNAcentral lists this ribosomal RNA (253 nucleotides) under uncultured bacterium. RNAcentral's name for it is "partial 16S ribosomal RNA". It matches the Rfam family "Bacterial small subunit ribosomal RNA", at positions 524 to 776 of the family's 1533-position model. The record is from RNAcentral.